UUUUACGGAGAGUUUGAUCCUGGCUCAGGAUUAACGCUGGCGGCGUGCCUGACACAUGCAAGUCGAACGGGUGCUAGCUGCCCGCAAGGGUGGCUAGCGCUAGUGGCGGACGGGUGAGUAACACGUGGGCAACCUGCCUGAGAGUGCAGAAUAACCCUGCG
This 161-nucleotide ribosomal RNA is filed under the name Chloroflexota bacterium. RNAcentral describes it as "Chloroflexi bacterium partial 16S ribosomal RNA". It matches the Rfam family "Bacterial small subunit ribosomal RNA", at positions 1 to 153 of the family's 1533-position model. Lineage: Bacteria; Bacillati; Chloroflexota. The record is from RNAcentral.